UACGGGGGGGAGCAAGCGUUGUUCGGAUUUACUGGGCGUAAAGGGCGCGUAGGCGGCCACCGCAAGUCGACUGUGAAAUCUCCGGGCUUAACCCGGAACGGUCAGCCGAUACUGCAGGGCUAGAGUGCAGAAGGGGCAACUGGAAUUCUCGGUGUAGCGGUGAAAUGCGUAGAUAUCGAGAGGAACACCUGCGGCGAAGGCGGGUUGCUGGGCUGACACUGACGCUGAAGUGCGAAAGCUAGGGGAGCGAACGGG
RNAcentral lists this ribosomal RNA (255 nucleotides) under uncultured bacterium. Its description in RNAcentral is "partial 16S ribosomal RNA". It matches the Rfam family "Bacterial small subunit ribosomal RNA", at positions 524 to 776 of the family's 1533-position model. The record is from RNAcentral.